Long non-coding RNA from Gadus chalcogrammus (walleye pollock), 4894 nucleotides. RefSeq lists it as uncharacterized. The record is from RefSeq and is a predicted model, not a curated record. The transcript is spliced from 10 exons. Lineage: Eukaryota; Metazoa; Chordata; Actinopteri; Gadiformes; Gadidae.
AGUCUGCUGUAUGCUGUUGCCAGAAGAGGUUGUCUGUGUUGAGCAGGGUGCUCAGCUCUCCACGAGAUGCUAAUUAUCUACUGAGGUUAGAGACUUUUUGAGGUAAAGAGGAGCAUCUCAUCUGAACCUGAUGUCUAUCAUGGAUAUUUAACUGCAGUUCUGUGAGUAUCCCAACUUAACCAUGAAGAUGAACUGCAAACUGUAAGUCAUUAAUAUCUCAUUACUCUUGGGCACAUUGAUGUAUUUUGGCUUCCUGGUGAGGUAACCUGUUACCUGAAGGUUGAUCUGCGUAGUAAGGAUGUUUUAUUGGUUCAUGGGUUACUUGGGUGUUUGGUUUAUGUUGGUUUUAAUGAUUUGUUAAAAUGGUUACAGGCUCCAAGUUAUUGUUGUAAGCUGGAGCAAUGGGUUGGGUUCUGACAUCUGCAGUCUUCUUUCAUUCUACUCUCCUGAGCUCUGCAUCUUCAUCACAUGAGUGUUGCUUUACUGAUGAGGGUGAGGUCUGAGUGAGCAGAGGUGCAUACUGGGAUACAGAGCUGUCUGAAGUCUACAGGUCUGUAGACGCGCCCCCUCAGGGGAAACGGAGUGUUUGAGAAUCUGUCGUGACGUCAGUUACAUGGACUGGAAUGUUCUUAAAGAUGGAGACAGGGAUUCAGAAGGAGAAACACCAGGGGGAGGUGAGGGGGCUCCUCAUCUCAACGGCUAAAACACAACUUCAGUCUGACAGAGAACCAUGGAACACAUUCAACAGUCCCCUCCAGGCAUCGUCACUCCUCAGAAAGGUUUCAUUUCCAAGGUCUUAUUUGGGGCCAUCCCCAUAUGGAUCCUGCUCCUCAAGAGCCACCCCCCCUCCACUGGGUGGUCUUCUGAACAGAUGACCUCCUUCCUGUCCUCAGGCUGACUAAAGCUGCACCGUUUGCAUCUGUGAAGGCCCCUCAUUCAGGAAACCACUUGACUACAAAGACAUGACUUCAGAGACGUUGAAUCAACCUGGGACAUAUUUUGGAGACGUAAAGCAUAAUCCAUCACCAAUGUGGGACGCCACUGAAGAAUGUUGUGCAUAAUUUACAUCUCUGGAGAAAUUGGUUGUUCUGGUAUGGGUGCCCUGGCAGGAGGCCUGGGGAGGGGAGGGGGGGGAUGAUGGAAUGUUAUUUGGCAUGAGGUGUUUACCCUGCAUGAUUGUUUGGCCUUUUAUGGCUCAGUGGUGUGUGUGUGUGUGUGUGUGUUUGACAUGAGAUGGAAGAUUUUUGAGGGUUCUACUGUGUGUCUCCCACUCUCACCUGGCAUGGGGUUCUACGUGCCUGGCCUGGGUUCUAUGUGUGUCCGGCUUGCUUUGACCGUGAUAAUGUUCAUACGGGGGUCUGUGUGAUUGGCUUGGGAUAUUGGAAUGGUCAACUAAAUCAUGCCUGAUGGACGGCCACACGUUUACUCAAGGGCCUCCAGUAGACAUGAAGAGCCCUGAGCGACGCUCCAGAGCGAUAUCCAACACACUGGGCAGGAAGGAGAGUAUCCAACUCGAGUGUAAAAGGAUGCAAGCGGCGUGUUCAGAUCAGUGACUUCAAAUUAGGACUACACCAAUCAGGAUCAAUGGAGGAUUGACACCAAAAGGAAUUCCACAAGGAGAGUCUGACGUUGGAAAGGGACCUAAAUGGAUUUUCAAGAUGACCAUCAGACCUGUAAUGAGUCGGCUCUUCCUACCUGGCCGGAUUGAUGGAGAGCCCUGUGGAAACCUUCACUGGGGCUUCAAGGUAUAAAGAGGAGACUGUUUCAAUGGUAUUCCAUGGUACCCUGAUGAAGACCGUUGUUGUGUUCCACUGGCUGAGGGGAAGAACCCACACAUCUUUCUCUUGACCGUUCUCAUGAGAAUCCUGGUGCCAUCUUGAAGGAUAUUCCAGCUCAUGAAACUGAUGUCACGACAGUUUCUUAAACACUUGGUUUCUCCUGAGGGGCGUGUCUAUAGAACUGAAGACUUCAGACAGCACUGUAUCCCAGCAUGUAUCUCUGCUCACUCAGACCACACCCCCAUGAGUAGGAUGCAACACUCUAGUGAUGGAGAUGUAGAGUUUUAUAAGUAACGAGGGAGCAGACUAAGGUGAUUAGAACACAAUGGAAUGUCCAGUCUGUUAAUCUUUAAACCAUGAAGAUGGUUGGAUAGUUCAGGAAUUGGGCUUCUUUUUAUUAUGGGCAGUCCUUUCACUCGGAUGCCCACGAUGAUGCCCAUGAUUUGCUGUUGGUGAUGAGGCGGUCAGGGUGACGUUGCAGGGCUAUGGUCGGCUCUCUGCUCAACGUUUAGAUUUGCUCUGUAUGGUUUAUACCCGGAAUAAUCUAGAUAAUUGUAAAAUGUAUACACGGUUUUGUAUUGAAUGAUUUUAGUUUUAAAGUUGUUGUGGGACGUACAUGGUAGUUUGGUUCUUCGUAUGGUUUUGAGUGAUAUAACUUGUACACACUGGGUGCAUAAUAAUGUAAAGGUACACUGAAUAGUAAUGACCAACAGCAACAAACAGAUCUCCUCAAGGUAAGUCUGUUGGCUGUGUUUUAAUGAAGACCAUCGCUGGACUUCAGGAUCUUCCUCCGUUCAGCUCAAGGUGAGGCACUGGUUCUGUUUUUUCUUUGGUUGGUUCCGGCCGGAAUGUUCGGAUUCCAGUCGGACGGUUUGUGCUUCCCGCCGUGGAAGGUUCUGAGUGCGGUCACUUGAUUUAGUCCCAAUGGUUAGCAUAGAACGUUGUAGUCUUGACAACCAUAAGAAACCACCUGGCAGUUUGUUGGACUGGAGUCCCCUGAGGGAAUCUGGCGGAACGUUCUGGAUUGUAUUUGCGUAACCUCGAGCCGUUUCCUAUUCUAUUUCAGUCGGUUUCGAUUGGGAAUUGUUGCCCCUAUCUUAAACAACUUAAGUCUGAUAUUAAAUACAUACUGAUGCGUACGUCGUACAAUAUGUUGAUAAAUUCCGAUGGUUGCACCGUACUUUUAACCACGAUGACGUGACGGGACUCUCACUGCGUACAAAACGGCGUUCUACUUGCGGGCCCAUUUUUGACAUCAGGGGAGGCUGAAAAUCAUUUCAAGGUGGAAGCUAAUUUGACAUUUCUUCAACGGAACCCAGCACCUGAAUAUGGCUGAGUAUAUUUGAUUUAAUAUCGAUACUGCUUAGAGUUCUUUGUUACUUCAACUUUUGUACGUUCUAAAUAUCUGCUGUCAUUAAUUGCCACAGAAGUUAAACGCUACCCAAUGGAAUGACGUUAAACAACGACUUUGGUUCAGUUACCAACUUCAUAAUAUCAAAGCUAAAAUAAUGGCAGUCAUUCCCACAUGUUACAAUAGAAGAUACUCUAGUCUAGAACUGUACAAGGUUAAAAAGGUAACAUGUAGUUUGUCUGCCUCCUCACCCAGAGCAAGACCUCCACCUCCUCACCCAGAGCCAGACCUCCACCUCCUCACCAAGAGACAGACCUCCGUCCUCCAGAACAGCUGAACGGCGAGGCUGAGAGGCUAGGGACCAGAGGCUUGUGGUGCCAGGGUGGACCGGAGACUGAGGCUGGAGACCAGGGGCCCACAGCACCGGACCAGAGGGUAACCAUCACCAAGCUCGUCUGAAACACUAAAAUCCACGACCAGGAAUCCAUGUCUGGAGGAGCCGUGCUGAAGGAGCUGAUGGAGGAGCCGAGCUGAUGGAGGACCCGUGCUGAAGGAGCUGUUGGAGGAGUCGUGCUGAAGGCCCUGCCUUGUGGAGGCCCUGCCUGGUGAAGGACCUGCCUGGUGAAGGACGUCUGUCAUGGGACUAGGAGUCUGUCUGAGGAGAGCUGCUGGAGGAGCUGAGACGCUGGAGGACGACUAGGAAUCGACCAACAAGGAUUCCUCAACGUGUUCCUGGAGAGGAGGCAAGCUGGUAGGGGAGCCGUGAAUCUGGAGGAUGAACAUCACUCUACAAACAAGGAUUACCACGACUCUGGCUGUGGAGAGCUGAUGGAGGAGCCAAGACUCGGGAGGAAGACAUCGCUCCACCAACCAGGAUCCUCACCAGGAAUCUGGAGGACUGAUGGAGAAGCCGUACAUCUGGAAGGAAAAUCCUGAGGAUCACCAGCACUCUACCAUCAAGGAUUCCUCAUAAGUUUGCAUUAUCUGGACAUGGUGGACUAGACGCACCUGAGCUGAACCUCACCUGAUCCUGUUUGGUCGGGGGUGGACACACCUGAGCUAAACCCGCCCUGAUCCUGACAUCCUGCUGGUCCCGUCUCCUCAGUUCAUCUGAGCCUUGUCCUCCAGAAGACCUGCUGAGCUCAGCAGUCUGAGGCUGAUGGAUCACUGACCUCCAGUGGGAGUGAUCUUCUUGACCCCACAUAUAACCGUGUGCUUCCACACGCCUUUCCCUCACGUCUGUCACUAACCUCACUACUUCACUACUCUCUACUGCUUCCUCUUUUCUUCCUUCUCUCUGGUUCAAAUCUUUACACUGAAGGCGCGUCUUCCUGCCCUCAGAGGGUUUAGCGUUAGGGUUGAGAGUCAGGGCUUAGAGUCAGGGACAGAGCUGGUCAGGGAGGACUGCUUUUACACAAACCUCUUCACUUGCUUUCGGAAUGGUGGUGACAUUUCGAAAAGAUUAAUUUGUAAAAUGUUUUCCUCUGCUUUCCUUUAUAAAAUUGUAUUACAUUUCUGUCAAGUGUUUUUGUUUAUAUAUUAAAAUCCCACAUUGACUUCUACAUGUUUGGUGCGGUUCAUUUGAUUGUCCUUUCACUUGGUUAGUGUCAAGCUAAACUCCUGCAAUACAUUUAAUAUACAUGAUUGUUAUUCAGCAAUGUUCACAUAAUCCAUUUUGUAAAAAUAUGAAACCUCCAUAUUACUACUAAAUCCAAGCCUAUUCAUGUAUUUAACAAUGUACAUACUGCCCCGCAGGCCAUUCUCU